Molecule: ribosomal RNA, 818 nt
Filed under: uncultured cyanobacterium
Lineage: Bacteria; Bacillati; Cyanobacteriota
Description: bacterial SSU rRNA
Rfam family: Bacterial small subunit ribosomal RNA
Source: RNAcentral
CAAGUCGAACGAUGAAGUUACUUCGGUAACUAUCAGUGGCGGACGGCUGAGUAACACGUAGGUAACGUGCCCUUUACUGGGGGAUAACAUCGGGAAACCGGUGCUAAUACCGCAUAAGUAAAGAGCUGAAAUGCUUUUUAUUAAAGAAUUUCGGUAAAGGAUCGGCCUGCGUCUGAUUAGCUAGUUGGUAGGGUAAAGGCCUACCAAGGCAAUGAUCAGUAGUUGGUCUGAGAGGAUGACCAGCCAGAGUGGGACUGGGACACGGCCCACACUUCUACGGAAGGCAGCAGUAGGGAAUUUUGCGCAAUGGGCGAAAGCCUGACGCAGCAACACCGCGUGUAGGAUGAAGGUUUUAGGAUCGUAAACUACUGUCAGCAGGGAAUAAUUUUGACUGUACCUGCAGAGGAAGCAUCGGCUAACUACGUGCCAGCAGCCGCGGUAAGACGUAGGAUGCAAGCGUUGUCCGGAAUUAUUGGGCGUAAAGAGUUCGUAGGCGGUUAUCUAAGUCUGGUGUUAAAGCCCGAAGCUCAACUUCGGCAUGGCAUUGGAAACUGGAUGGCUAGAGUGUGGUAGAGGUAUCGGGAAUUCCUGGUGUAGCGGUGAAAUGCGUAGAUAUCAGGAGGAACACCGGUGGCGAAAGCGCGAUACUGGGCCAUAACUGACGCUGAGGAACGAAAGCCAGGGGAGCGAAAGGGAUUAGAUACCCCUGUAGUCCUGGCCGUAAACGAUGGAUACUAGGUGUUGGAGGAUUCGACCCCUUCAGUGCCGUAGCUAACGCGAUAAGUAUCCCGCCUGGGGAGUACGACCGCAAGGUUGAA